RNAcentral lists this ribosomal RNA (503 nucleotides) under uncultured marine bacterium. RNAcentral describes it as "bacterial SSU rRNA". It matches the Rfam family "Bacterial small subunit ribosomal RNA", at positions 393 to 911 of the family's 1533-position model. The record is from RNAcentral.
CAUGCCGCGUGAGUGAUGAAGGCCCUAGGGUCGUAAAGCUCUUUCGCCUGAGAAGAUAAUGACUGUAGCAGGUAUAGAAACCCCGGCUAACUCCGUGCCAGCAGCCGCGGUAAUACGGAGGGCGUUAGCGCUUGUUCGGAAUUACUGGGCGUAAAGCGCGCGUUAGGCGGACUGGAAAGUUGGCGGUGAAAUCCCAGGGCUCAACCCUGGAACUGCCUCCAAAACUAUCAGUCUAGAGUUCGAGAGAGGUGAGUGAGAAUUCCGAGUGUUAGAGGUGAAAUUCGUAGAUAUUCGGAGGAACCCAGUGGCGAAGGCGGCUCACUGGCUCGAUACUGACGCUGAGGUGCGAAAGUGUGGGGAGCAAACAGGAUUAGAUACCCUGGUAGUCCACACCGUAAACGAUGAAUGCCAGUCGUCGGGUAGCAAGCUAUUCGGUGACACACCUAACGGAUUAAGCAUUCCGCCUGGGGAGUACGGUCGCUAGAUUAAAACUCAAAGGAAUU